GUGUCAGCCGCCGCGGUAAUACGAAGGGGGCUAGCGUUGCUCGGAUUCACUGGGCGUAAAGGGUGCGUAGGCGGGUCUUUAAGUCGGGGGUGAAAUCCUGGAGCUCAACUCCAGAACUGCCUUUGAUACUGAAGAUCUUGAGUUCGGGAGAGGUGAGUGGAACUGCGAGUGUAGAGGUGAAAUUCGUAGAUAUUCGCAAGAACACCAGUGGCGAAGGCGGCUCACUGGCCCGAUACUGACGCUGAGGCACGAAAGCGUGGGGAGCAAAUAGGAUUAGAAACCCAGGUAGUCC
RNAcentral lists this ribosomal RNA (292 nucleotides) under uncultured Bradyrhizobium sp. RNAcentral's name for it is "partial 16S ribosomal RNA". It matches the Rfam family "Bacterial small subunit ribosomal RNA", at positions 505 to 796 of the family's 1533-position model. Lineage: Bacteria; Pseudomonadati; Pseudomonadota; Alphaproteobacteria; Hyphomicrobiales; Nitrobacteraceae. The record is from RNAcentral.